Molecule: unclassified non-coding RNA, 263 nt
Filed under: plant metagenome
Description: partial contains small subunit ribosomal RNA, internal transcribed spacer 1, and 5.8S ribosomal RNA
Source: RNAcentral
UUUCCGUAGGUGAACCUGCGGAAGGAUCAUUAUUGUAUAACCGAGGUGCGAGGGCUGUCGCUGACCCGAAAGGUCGUGCACGCCCGAGUGCCCUCACACACAUCCAUCUCACCCCUAUGUGCACCACCGCGUGGGUCCCCCUUUGGCUUGUUCGGAGGGGGGCUUACGCUUUCACACAAACUUUGUAUGCAGUGUAGAAUGUAUUUUUUGUUUUUGCGAUCACGCAAUCAAUACGACUUUCAACAACGGAUCUCUUGGCUCUC